AACCAGCACCUCGAGUGGUCAGGAGGUUUAUUGGGCCUAAAGCAUCCGUAGCCGGUUGCAUAAGUUUUCGGUUAAAUCUAUGCGCUCAACGUAUAGGCCGCCGAAAAUACUGUGCAGCUAGGGAGUGGGAGAGGUACACGGUACUCAAUAGGAAGGGGUAAAAUCCUUUGAUCUAUUGAUGACCACCUGUGGCGAAAGCGGUGUACCAGAACACGUUCGACGGUGAGGGAUGAAAGCUGGGGGAGCAAACCGG
This 253-nucleotide ribosomal RNA is filed under the name uncultured archaeon. RNAcentral describes it as "partial 16S ribosomal RNA". It matches the Rfam family "Archaeal small subunit ribosomal RNA", at positions 474 to 727 of the family's 1478-position model. The record is from RNAcentral.